AUCUUCCGCAAUGGACGCAAGUCUGACGGAGCAAUGCCGCGUGAGUGACGAAGGUUUUCGGAUCGUAAAACUCUGUUGUAAGGGAAGAACAAACCCCAUUUAACCGAUGGGGCCCUGACGGUACCUUACCAGAAAGCCACGGCUAACUACGUGCCAGCAGCCGCGGUAAUACGUAGGUGGCAAGCGUUGUCCGGAAUUAUUGGGCGUAAAGCGCGCGCAGGCGGUCCCUUAAGUCUGAUGUGAAGGCCCACGGCUCAACCGUGGAGGGUCAUUGGAAACUGGGGGACUUGAGUGCAGAAGAGGAAAGUGGAAUUCCAUGUGUAGCGGUGAAAUGCGUAGAGAUGUGGAGGAACACCAGUGGCGAAGGCGACUUUCUGGUCUGUAACUGACGCUGAGGCGCGAAAGCGUGGGGAGCAAAC
This 419-nucleotide ribosomal RNA is filed under the name uncultured bacterium. Its description in RNAcentral is "bacterial SSU rRNA". It matches the Rfam family "Bacterial small subunit ribosomal RNA", at positions 361 to 773 of the family's 1533-position model. The record is from RNAcentral.